GACAGAGGGUGCAACCGUUGUUCGGAUUUACUGGGCAUAAAGCGUGUGUAGGCGGCUUCGCAAGUUGGAUGUGAAAUCCCACGGCUCAACCGUGGACGUGCAUCCAAAACUGCGUCGCUAGAGUCUCGGAGAGGAAGGUGGAAUGCUUGGUGUAGAGGUGAAAUUCGUAGAUAUCAAGCAGAACACCUGCGGCGAAGGCGGCCUUCUGGACGAUGACUGACGCUGAGACACGAAAGCGUGGGGAGCAAACAGG
This 253-nucleotide ribosomal RNA is filed under the name uncultured bacterium. RNAcentral's name for it is "partial 16S ribosomal RNA". It matches the Rfam family "Bacterial small subunit ribosomal RNA", at positions 524 to 776 of the family's 1533-position model. The record is from RNAcentral.